RNAcentral lists this unclassified non-coding RNA (22 nucleotides) under Dictyostelium discoideum. Lineage: Eukaryota; Evosea; Eumycetozoa; Dictyosteliales; Dictyosteliaceae. The record is from RNAcentral.
GGGGGAGUAACUAUGACUCUCU